RNAcentral lists this ribosomal RNA (249 nucleotides) under uncultured bacterium. Its description in RNAcentral is "partial 16S ribosomal RNA". It matches the Rfam family "Bacterial small subunit ribosomal RNA", at positions 337 to 603 of the family's 1533-position model. The record is from RNAcentral.
UCCUACGGGACGCAGCAGUAGGGAAUAUUGCUCAAUGGGGGAAACCCUGAAGCAGCAACGCCGCGUGGAGGAGGAAGGUUUUGGGAUUGUAAACUCCUUUUGUUAGAGAAGAUAAUGACGGUAUCUAACGAAUAAGCAACGGCUAACUCCGUGCCAGCAGCCACGGUAAUACGGAGGGUGCAAGCGUUACUCGGAAUCACUGGGCGAAAAGAGCGCGUAGGCGGGAUAGCAAGUCAGAUGUGAAAUCCU